UCUAUCCAAGCUCCAGCUCCCUCUGCCAUUCUCCUGCCUCAGAACAGGGAAAAGGUGCUCUGAAGCUGCGCUCCCUUCCACUCAGCCAGAGAAGACCAGCAGACCAGGGGCCAGAAGGCAGAGAAAUGCAUGCAAGUGGCUCCUCCCUGCAAAUCAGAACAUCUGACCCUGGCCCAGCACCGGAAUCCUGUCCCGGAUGUGGUCUCAACAGCACAGCCUUGGAGCAAACCCAGGGAGCUCGAAUGAGUGACGGUCCUGGUGUGGGUUCAGCCAUAACCUCCAGGACAGAUGGGAGCAGGCACUUCUAAAGGGUGGCCCUUCCGAGAGGGAAAGGCCUGGAGCCUUACGCUGGAGCAUGCUCACUCUGGGGGUCUAGCGCCGAGUCCCGGGUCCUGAGGGACACACUGUGAGCCUGGAGUUGGUGACGGCUGGGGACAUACUGUGAGCCUGGAGCUGAUGACAGCUGGAACCGGACGGUGCACUGUGAGCCUGGAGCUGGUGACGGCUGGGGACAUACUGUGAGCCUGGAGCUGGUGGCUGCUGGAGACAUACUGUGAGCCUGGAGCUGGUGACGGCUGGAACCAGACAUU
RNAcentral lists this non-coding RNA (590 nucleotides) under Pan troglodytes (chimpanzee). The record is from RNAcentral. Lineage: Eukaryota; Metazoa; Chordata; Mammalia; Primates; Hominidae.